UUUACGAUGGAAUGUCACCUCGUACAGAAUAUUUACGGUUGGUUGGCAGGUAUUUUUUAUGAUACAUGAUGUGAUAAUGUGUUUACCUUAUUAGCUUAUUUAUUUUCUUAAUGUAAUAACUUGUGUUUUAGCCGUAAUCCUCUAAAUACCAGCAGUGCCAUAGUUUAUUUACAAGAGAAGCCAUAUUUAAUUGGUAUUGGCGGCCUAAUACACGAGAUUGCCUGUGAACAUAACAAACGUUUUGAUUGGUCGAUCCAUUGACCGGAAAAUUAUAAAUAGAAGGUUGACGAAACGAACUUUAGAAUUAUUCUCAGAUUUAUU
RNAcentral lists this long non-coding RNA (321 nucleotides) under Mytilus galloprovincialis (Mediterranean mussel). The record is from RNAcentral. Lineage: Eukaryota; Metazoa; Mollusca; Bivalvia; Mytilida; Mytilidae.